GGGGUAGGGGCUCAGGGGUACAGACCUCAGCUGGAUAAUGGGAGCUGAGUGCAGAUGUUAUCUGUUCAGCCUGGGUGUGGUGGGUUGUUCCAAGAAGCAUCUGCAUGAGAAAAAACGCCUGUAUCUGAGCCUC
Molecule: small nucleolar RNA, 133 nt
Organism: Callorhinchus milii (elephant shark)
Lineage: Eukaryota; Metazoa; Chordata; Chondrichthyes; Chimaeriformes; Callorhinchidae
Product: small nucleolar RNA SNORD94
Exons: 1
Source: RefSeq, a predicted model, not a curated record